This 28-nucleotide small RNA is filed under the name Bombyx mori (domestic silkworm). RNAcentral describes it as "ovarian small RNA-24234". Lineage: Eukaryota; Metazoa; Arthropoda; Insecta; Lepidoptera; Bombycidae. The record is from RNAcentral.
UAUUGCGUUUUGCGUAUUCAAAAAAUAA